GGCUAAAUACUCCUGACUGACCGAUAGUGAACCAGUACCGUGAGGGAAAGGCGAAAAGAACCCCGGCGAGGGGAGUGAAAAAGAACCUGAAACCGUGUACGUACAAGCAGUGGGAGCACAGAGCAAUCUGUGUGACUGCGUACCUUUUGUAUAAUGGGUCAGCGACUUAUAUUCUGUAGCAAGGUUAACCGAAUAGGGGAGCCGAAGGGAAACCGAGUCUUAACUGGGCGUUAAGUUGCAGGGUAUAGACCCGAAACCCGGUGAUCUAGCCAUGGGCAGGUUGAAGGUUGGGUAACACUAACUGGAGGACCGAACCGACUAAUGUUGAAAAAUUAGCGGAUGACUUGUGGCUGGGGGUGAAAGGCCAAUCAAACCGGGAGAUAGCUGGUUCUCCCCGAAAGCUAUUUAGGUAGCGCCUCGUGAAUUCAUCUCCGGGGGUAGAGCACUGUUUCGGCAAGGGGGUCAUCCCGACUUACCAACCCGAUGCAAACUGCGAAUACCGGAGAAUGUUAUCACGGGAGACACACGGCGGGUGCUAACGUCCGUCGUGAAGAGGGAAACAACCCAGACCGCCAGCUAAGGUCCCAAAGUCAUGGUUAAGUGGGAAACGAUGUGGGAAGGCCCAGACAGCCAGGAUGUUGGCUUAGAAGCAGCCAUCAUUUAAAGAAAGCGUAAUAGCUCACUGGUCGAGUCGGCCUGCGCGGAAGAUGUAACGGGGCUAAACCAUGCACCGAAGCUGCGGCAGCGACGCUUAUGCGUUGUUGGGUAGGGGAGCGUUCUGUAAGCCUGUGAAGGUGUGCUGUGAGG
RNAcentral lists this ribosomal RNA (807 nucleotides) under Escherichia coli. Its description in RNAcentral is "partial 23S ribosomal RNA". It matches the Rfam family "Bacterial large subunit ribosomal RNA", at positions 464 to 1268 of the family's 2925-position model. Lineage: Bacteria; Pseudomonadati; Pseudomonadota; Gammaproteobacteria; Enterobacterales; Enterobacteriaceae. The record is from RNAcentral.